This 187-nucleotide ribosomal RNA is filed under the name uncultured Staphylococcus sp. Its description in RNAcentral is "partial 16S ribosomal RNA". It matches the Rfam family "Bacterial small subunit ribosomal RNA", at positions 342 to 521 of the family's 1533-position model. Lineage: Bacteria; Bacillati; Bacillota; Bacilli; Caryophanales; Staphylococcaceae. The record is from RNAcentral.
CGGGAGGCAGCAGUAGGGAAUCUUCCGCAAUGGACGAAAGUCUGACGGAGCAACGCCGCGUGAGUGAUGAAGGUUUUCGGAUCGUAAAACUCUGUUAUUAGGGAAGAACAAACGUGUAAGUAACUGUGCACGUCUUGACGGUACCUAAUCAGAAAGCCACGGCUAACUACGUGCCAGCAGCCGCGGU